GGAGUUAGCCGGUGCUUCUUCUGUGAGUGAUGUCCUUCCUGCCGGCUAUUAACCCGCAGGCCUUCUUCCUCACUGAAAGUGCUUUACAACCCGAAGGCCUUCUUCACACACGCGGCAUGGCUGGAUCAGGGUUGCCCCCAUUGUCCAAUAUUCCCCACUGCUGCCUCCCGUAGGAGUCUGGGCCGUGUCUCAGUCCCAGUGUGGCUGAUCAUCCUCUCAGACCAGCUACGGAUCGUCGCCUUGGUGAGCCGUUACCUCACCAACCAGCUAAUCCGACAUAGGCUCAUCCUAUAGCGCGAGGCCCGAAGGUCCCCCGCUUUCCCCCGUAGGGCGUAUGCGGUAUUAGCCUGGGUUUCCCCAGGUUAUCCCCCACUACCGGGCAGAUUCCUAUGCAUUACUCACCCGUCCGCCGCUCGCCACCAGGGAGCAAGCUCCCCGUGCUGCCGCUCGACUUGCAUGUGUUAGGCCUGCCGCCAGCGUUCAAUCUGAGCCAGAAUCAAACUCUGA
RNAcentral lists this ribosomal RNA (507 nucleotides) under uncultured bacterium. RNAcentral's name for it is "partial 16S ribosomal RNA". The record is from RNAcentral.